UCGGAUAUGGUGUAAUGGCUAACAUUGCCGCCUCUCAUUUCAUGGUGUCAUCUUGACAUGUCCGCGGCAGCUCGGGGUUCGAUUCCCCGUAUCCGAA
Transfer RNA from Termitomyces sp. J132, 97 nucleotides. It matches the Rfam family "tRNA". From Rfam's summary of the family: Transfer RNA (tRNA) molecules are approximately 80 nucleotides in length. Their secondary structure includes four short double-helical elements and three loops (D, anti-codon, and T loops). Further hydrogen bonds mediate the characteristic L-shaped molecular structure. tRNAs have two regions of fundamental functional importance: the anti-codon, which is responsible for specific mRNA codon recognition, and the 3' end, to which the tRNAs corresponding amino acid is attached (by aminoacyl-tRNA synthetases). tRNAs cope with the degeneracy of the genetic code in two manners: having more than one tRNA (with a specific anti-codon) for a particular amino acid; and 'wobble' base-pairing, i.e. permitting non-standard base-pairing at the 3rd anti-codon position. NCBI's taxonomy places the organism in Eukaryota, Fungi, Basidiomycota, Agaricomycetes, Agaricales, Lyophyllaceae. The record is from Rfam.